AUGAACGCUAGCUACAGGCUUAACACAUGCAAGUCNCGGGGCAGCAUGCGUUGCUUGCAACCGAUGAUGGCGACCGGCGCACGGGUGAGUAACGCGUAUCCAACCUGCCCUUCACCACGGAAUAAUCCAGUGAAAAUUGGUCUAAUACCGUAUGAGGUCAUACGAUGGCAUCAGAAUAUGACGAAAGGUUUAGCGGGUGAAGGAUGGGGAUGCGUCUGAUUAGCUUGUUGGUGAGGUAACGGCUCACCAAGGCGACGAUCAGUAGGGGUUCUGAGAGGAAGGUCCCCCACAUUGGAACUGAGACACGGUCCAAACUCCUACGGGAGGCAGCAGUGAGGAAUAUUGGUCAAUGGGCGAGAGCCUGAACCAGCCAAGUAGCGUGCAGGACGACGGCCCUAUGGGUUGUAAACUGCUUUUAUAUGGGGAUAAAGUGAGCUACGUGUAGUUUAUUGCAGGUACCAUAUGAAUAAGGACCGGCUAAUUCCGUG
RNAcentral lists this ribosomal RNA (488 nucleotides) under uncultured bacterium. RNAcentral describes it as "bacterial SSU rRNA". It matches the Rfam family "Bacterial small subunit ribosomal RNA", at positions 29 to 507 of the family's 1533-position model. The record is from RNAcentral.